UCAACCCACGACAUAUCAAGCACUCGAAGCUUUGUUUUGCCUUCUCACAGAUCUUUACAGAUGAUAAUGCUCGUUGUGCUGCCUCUCGUGUAUCUUGGUCCACACAAGUUAAAAUCACGCCAGAUUGGACGAGGCUGGUGAGAAAAGUUGGCGACAUUAAAAUUACUCACCAAAAUUAAUGGACUGUGUGCUUGUUCUUCGUGGCGUAAAAUAAUCAAAUGUUUCGAGAUCAUUGGCUUUUACUGCAUAAACCUUCCGAGCCGCGGCUUUCCAGAAGCUUAUUCCUGUAAGAAGAAAGUGUUCUCUUUAAAACUGUGAAGAGGAAAAACAAUUUUCAGUCCAUAUUCAAAUAUAUAUAUACACACCUCUUGUGGCUGCGGAGUCCUCGUAUCGUAAACCACCUCCUUGCACUAACACCAACGUUCGAUCUUCGAAUCGUGUUUUUGCCAUCUCCGUGAUUGCGUCGACGUUUGCUUCUGCUUCCGUUAUUGUUAUAAACGAAAUUCGUUUCUGAUUAACUGUAAAAAAGAAGAGUAUUUAUAAUUUAUGAAUGUGUAAAAUUAGAACGUUUAGUAUAGAACAAUAUCAACUUACCGA
Hydractinia symbiolongicarpus is the source of this 597-nucleotide long non-coding RNA. RefSeq lists it as uncharacterized. The record is from RefSeq and is a predicted model, not a curated record. NCBI's taxonomy places the organism in Eukaryota, Metazoa, Cnidaria, Hydrozoa, Anthoathecata, Hydractiniidae. The transcript has 2 exons.